RNAcentral lists this ribosomal RNA (468 nucleotides) under uncultured bacterium. RNAcentral describes it as "partial 16S ribosomal RNA". It matches the Rfam family "Bacterial small subunit ribosomal RNA", at positions 28 to 507 of the family's 1533-position model. The record is from RNAcentral.
GACGAACGCUGGCGGCGUGCUUAACACAUGCAAGUCGAACGGAAAGGCCCUGCUCUUGUGGGGUGCUCGAGUGGCGAACGGGUGAGUAACACGUGAGUAACCUGCCCCUGACUUUGGGAUAACUUCAGGAAACUGGGGCUAAUAUCGGAUAGGAGCUCCUGCUGCAUGGUGGGGGUUGGAAAGUGUCGGCGGUUGGGGAUGGACUCGCGGGUUAUGAGCUUGAUGGUGGGGUAGUGGCUUACCAAGGCUUUGACGGGUAGCCGGCCUGAGAGGGUGACCGGCCACAUUGGGACUGAGAUACGGCGCAGACUCCUACGGGAGGCAGCAGUGGGGAAUAUUGCACAAUGGGCGGAAGCCUGAUGCAGCAACGCCGCGUGCGGGAUGACGGCCUUCGGGUUGUAAACCGCUUUCGCCUGUGACGAAGCGUGAGUGACGGUAAUGGGUAAAGAAGCACCGGCUAACUACGUG